UUGGCCGGGCGACGGUUGUCCCGGUUUAAGCGUGUAGGUGUGUGUUCCAGGUAAAUCCGGUUCACUUUAACACUGAGGCGUGACGACGAGGCACUACGGUGCUGAAGCAACAAAUGCCCUGCUUCCAGGAAAAGCCUCUAAGCAUCAGGUAACAUCAAAUCGUACCCCAAACCGACACAGGUGGUCAGGUAGAGAAUACCAAGGCGCUUGAGAGAACUCGGGUGAAGGAACUAGGCAAAAUGGUGCCGUAACUUCGGGAGAAGGCACGCUGACACGUAGGUGAAGUGAUUUACUCAUGGAGCUGAAGUCAGUCGAAGAUACCAGCUGGCUGCAACUGUUUAUUAAAAACACAGCACUGUGCAAACACGAAAGUGGACGUAUACGGUGUGACGCCUGCCCGGUGCCGGAAGGUUAAUUGAUGGGGU
Molecule: ribosomal RNA, 425 nt
Filed under: Salmonella enterica
Lineage: Bacteria; Pseudomonadati; Pseudomonadota; Gammaproteobacteria; Enterobacterales; Enterobacteriaceae
Also listed under: 8 other names
Description: partial 23S ribosomal RNA
Rfam family: Bacterial large subunit ribosomal RNA
Source: RNAcentral